UUUUUCCUAUCUAUCUCUUCAUUUUCUUUUUCUAUUCUUACCAUUGCUGUUAAUUUAUCUUCUAAUUUUAAUUCUUCUUUUUCUAACAUUAGAUAUAAAUGUUCACCUAUUUUCUUAUAUCUUCGUCCUAGAUUAGAAAAUACUAUUUUUAUUUUUGAUCCUUCGUAAUUUUCAUAUAUUUUUUCAUCUAUUAUAAAUUCUUCUUUAUUCAUUUUAUUGUGAAUAGUUCAUGUUGAUAUAUAUAUUCUAAACUAUCUAUUUGUGAUUCUAAUUUUGAUAUUUCAUCUUUUUGUGUAUCUAUUGAAUUUUUACUAACUCCGGCAAAUAUAUUAUAAUGUAGUCUUUCUAUUCUUAUUUUUAAUUCUUUACGUUUUUCAGAGAUAAUUUGUCUUAAUUCUUUAUAUUGUUGUAUU
This 413-nucleotide long non-coding RNA is filed under the name Capsicum annuum. Its description in RNAcentral is "long non-coding RNA (CANN_LNC010898)". Lineage: Eukaryota; Viridiplantae; Streptophyta; Magnoliopsida; Solanales; Solanaceae. The record is from RNAcentral.